RNAcentral lists this ribosomal RNA (488 nucleotides) under uncultured Dyadobacter sp. Its description in RNAcentral is "bacterial SSU rRNA". It matches the Rfam family "Bacterial small subunit ribosomal RNA", at positions 8 to 507 of the family's 1533-position model. Lineage: Bacteria; Pseudomonadati; Bacteroidota; Cytophagia; Cytophagales; Spirosomataceae. The record is from RNAcentral.
AGAGUUUGAUCCUGGCUCAGGAUGAACGCUAGCGGCAGGCUUAAUACAUGCAAGGCAGGGGGCAGCAAUGUCACCGUCGUACGGGUGCGUAACGCGUAUGCAACCUACCUUCAACUGGGGGAUAGCCCGGGGAAACCCGGAUUAAUACCGCAUAAUACAUACGGAUCACCUGAUUUGUUUUGUUAAAGAUUUAUUGGUUGAAGAUGGGCAUGCGUUCGAUUAGCUAGUUGGCAGGGUAACGGCCUACCAAGGCGACGAUCGAUAGGGGAGCUGAGAGGUUGAUCCCCCACACGGGCACUGAGAUACGGGCCCGACUCCUACGGGAGGCAGCAGUAGGGAAUAUUGGGCAAUGGAUGCAAGUCUGACCCAGCCAUGCCGCGUGCCGGAUGAAGGCCCUCAGGGUUGUAAACGGCUUUUAUUCGGGAAGAAGAGCGAGGGUGCGCCCUUGUGUGACGGUACCGAAUGAAUAAGCACCGGCUAACUCCGUG